RNAcentral lists this transfer RNA (73 nucleotides) under Myotis davidii. It matches the Rfam family "tRNA". Rfam says of the family: Transfer RNA (tRNA) molecules are approximately 80 nucleotides in length. Their secondary structure includes four short double-helical elements and three loops (D, anti-codon, and T loops). Further hydrogen bonds mediate the characteristic L-shaped molecular structure. tRNAs have two regions of fundamental functional importance: the anti-codon, which is responsible for specific mRNA codon recognition, and the 3' end, to which the tRNAs corresponding amino acid is attached (by aminoacyl-tRNA synthetases). tRNAs cope with the degeneracy of the genetic code in two manners: having more than one tRNA (with a specific anti-codon) for a particular amino acid; and 'wobble' base-pairing, i.e. permitting non-standard base-pairing at the 3rd anti-codon position. The record is from Rfam by way of RNAcentral. Lineage: Eukaryota; Metazoa; Chordata; Mammalia; Chiroptera; Vespertilionidae.
GCCGGUGUGGCUCAGUGGAUAGAGCGUCGGCCUGCGGACUGAAUGAUCGCAGGUUUGAUUCCUGUCAAGGGCA